GAGACACACGCAUUUUGAAGUUCAAGUUGUGUCGGAAAACAAAAUUGGAUCUCCGGGAUUAUAACAGCUUGCUCCGGCCUCCUCCAGCAUGCAUCUUUUUGCGAAAUACAUUCUCAUCCUCCAAAUUAUUAUCCUUUUUGUGACAACCUGCCAGACUCUGUUAUGCAUUCCUUGUCAUAAAGUGACAUGCAAGGAUCCAGAGGAUUGCAAAGGGGGGCUGGUGCGUAGUAUUUGCGGGUGCUGCAAUGUUUGCGCCAAGGUGAAGGGAGAGGACUGUGGCGGCCAAUUGGAUCUGCGCGGGAUAUGCGACCAGGGGCUCAAGUGCGUGUACCCGCCCUUCCACUCGUUUAGAGUGGACGUGUUUGGAGUUUGCCAAGUAUCAGACUAGUUGAAGAAGAGAAUGAAAGUCCUUACAUGGAUUCAAGAGGAGCCCAUCCAUGGUCUACCCAACAUGUGAUUGGUGUGAAAGGAAAAUCUCUACACUCUACAGAGUGCCUAUCAGAAUGCUAUGCUUAGUCCAUGUAUAGCCUACCAUGGUACCAAUUACAUGUGUGAAAUGCAAUGCAAUAUAACGUGCUUGAUAGUGAACCAGCAUUAAUAAAUGAAUACAUUUGUAACCAAA
This is a long non-coding RNA of Alosa alosa (allis shad), 622 nucleotides long. RefSeq lists it as uncharacterized. NCBI's taxonomy places the organism in Eukaryota, Metazoa, Chordata, Actinopteri, Clupeiformes, Clupeidae. The record is from RefSeq and is a predicted model, not a curated record. The transcript has 3 exons.